CCUACGGGUGGCAGCAGUGGGGAAUAUUGGACAAUGGGGGGAACCCUGAUCCAGCCAUGCCGCGUGUGUGAAGAAGGCCCUCGGGUUGUAAAGCACUUUCAGUGAGGAAGAACGCCUGGUGGUUAAUACCCAUCAGGAAAGACAUCACUCACAGAAGAAGCACCGGCUAACUCCGUGCCAGCAGCCGCGGUAAUACGGAGGGUGCGAGCGUUAAUCGGAAUUACUGGGCGUAAAGCGCGCGUAGGUGGCUUGAUAAGCCGGUUGUGAAAGCCCCGGGCUCAACCUGGGAACGGCAUCCGGAACUGUCCAGCUAGAGUGCAGGAGAGGAAGGUAGAAUUCCCGGUGUAGCGGUGAAAUGCGUAGAGAUCGGGAGGAAUACCAGUGGCGAAGGCGGCCUUCUGGACUGACACUGACACUGAGGUGCGAAAGCGUGGGUAGCAAACAGGAUUAGAUACCCCAGUAGUC
Molecule: ribosomal RNA, 465 nt
Filed under: Vreelandella stevensii
Lineage: Bacteria; Pseudomonadati; Pseudomonadota; Gammaproteobacteria; Oceanospirillales; Halomonadaceae
Description: partial 16S ribosomal RNA
Rfam family: Bacterial small subunit ribosomal RNA
Source: RNAcentral